CUGGAGUACUCGAGUGGCGAACGGGUGAGUAACACGUGGGUAAUCUGCCCUGCACUCUGGGAUAAGCCUGGGAAACUGGGUCUAAUACCGGAUAGGACCAUGCUUUAGUGUGUGUGGUGGAAAGUUUUUUCGGUGUAGGAUGAGCCCGCGGCCUAUCAGCUUGUUGGUGGGGUAAUGGCCUACCAAGGCGGCGACGGGUAGCCGGACUGAGAGGUUGGUCGGCCACAUUGGGACUGAGAUACGGCCCAG
Molecule: ribosomal RNA, 249 nt
Filed under: uncultured Actinomycetales bacterium
Lineage: Bacteria; Bacillati; Actinomycetota; Actinomycetes; Actinomycetales
Description: partial 16S ribosomal RNA
Rfam family: Bacterial small subunit ribosomal RNA
Source: RNAcentral